GUUGCUUUUUCCGCCCACAUCAGGGGACUUCAACAAGUAACCUCCAGUUCCAUAGAUAAAACUUGCAUUCCCCCCUUCUCCAUGGCAGGGGUUUUGAGCCUAGAGAAGGAAGAUCGGAGCUUCCUGGGGCUCCUGUGAAGCAGGCAGGGGGCAGCACUGGGCCCCGGGAAGAGGCGGAGAAGGCGAGGGAGUGCCUGCGGUGAGCCCAGAGCCUUGGGCCCGUUAUCCUCUGAUGCUGCUCCCCCAACUUUCCUGCCGUCAGUCCCUGACCUUGCCUGAGACCUUGGCGGCUCCCGCACCUCUCUCCCGGCUCCUCCUUGCUGAGAACACAACCCGCAAGGCCCUUCCGCCUGGCUGGACUGAGUCCCCUAUGGAGGCAGCCUGGCAGGGAGCAGGUGUCUUCCUGGCAGAAGAGGACAGACCUGGUAAACUGAGGGACUGUUGAUGCCCCGAUGUUCUGCCUAGCCUGCCUGGAAACUCCAGAAGGGGUCCUGUGUCAUUCCUUGUGACACUGAGUAGAGUGAGGGUCCUGUUGCCAUUGGACAGCUGCAGCCUGGGACUGACCGGGAGGCUCUGAUUGUUUAUCCACCACAGACCAGGAUCUCCCCUCUGGGCUGCAGAUGCCUAAGAAGAAAGGAACUGAACCAACUCUGGUAUUGGGGUCCACAGAUGCCAAAUAAGGCCCCUGGAGUAGAGGAGAGGUUAAGACUGUGGCUGAAGACAAAUCUCCUGUAACUGAUCUUCCAGUUACGGUCUGUGUGACCUUGAUAUAGUGACUGUAUUUAUUGCCAUGUGGCUCAGUUUCCCCUCAGUGAAAUAGUAUAAAUGGUUAAUGGUUUUGGCUUAUCUUGUGGUCUGUGAAUUAACCUUAAAAUAUUUAUAAUUGUUUGACCUCAGCUCUGCAUAGGGGAGCUGCCCAAAUAAACAAUCUUAUUUUAUUUUAUUUUAUUUUUUUGAGACGGAGUCUCGCUCUGUCACCCAGGCUAGGGUGCAGUGGUGUGAUCUUGGCUUACUGCAACCUCUGCCUCCCAGGUUCAAGCAAUUCUCCUGCCUCAGCCUCCUGAGUAGCUGGGAUUACAGGCACGCACCACCACGCCCGGCUAAUUUUUUUGUAUUUUUAGUAGAGUUGGCAUUUGACCAUGUUGGUCAGGCUGGUCUUGAACUCCUGACCUCAUAGUCCGUCCACCUUGGCCUCCCAAAGUACUGGGAUUACAGGCGUGAGCCACCGCUCCCGGCCGCAGCAUCUAUUAUUGUUGGAUUCCAUGACAGUGCCUCUCAGCCUGAUCCCUGGUGGACAGGGAGCUUUCAGGAGCAUCCUGUCUCCUCUGUUCCUCCUCCUGGGGAUGCUAAACUUCCUAUGGCAUCUCCUAAGCCCCCAGGGCAGUUGGCUGAUGGUCUGGGGAGCUUGUCCAUCUGUCCUCUCCAGGCUGAGACUAAGGUGAAGGAUGAGGCUCCGUCCUUGCCCAAAUGAGGCUCUAGUGCUUGAACCCUGGCUGGUUACCAGCUCCAGGAGCCACAGCCCUCGGAUAGCUCAAAUUCUUGUUCCUAGUCAGCCCUGCCCAGGAGGCCACAAUCUAGCCCUGGCCCAGGCUCCUCAGGGUCACCAGGAGUUGAGAACCUUGGGAUAGUGUUUUGGAGCAGGGGAUUCCCAGGGCUGAGCUUGUCUGUGAGGAUCCCAGAAGGCCCUUCAGGCCAGACCCUGACUGAGUCCUACUGGGUCUUUCUUAGGGACAUGUUCACCAGGAGGGUCCCGGGGGGCUAGAUUGAGACUGGUCUCCCCUCGAUAAGUUACCCACAUCAGAUUGUCCUUCCUCUGAAGCAAAUGUCUGCAGGAUCAGGACUCCAGAGUAAGACAUUCGGUAUUUUGAUGUCUGUCCCAUAGUGUGUCCUGCACUAAAUGCUCAAACCUUAACAUGGGGUAUAAUGCAGAGGAGGACACAGGCACAGCCCAGGCCUGACAAUCCCAUGUGUGGGAAGUAGAACUAACCCCCCAAUACCCAGAGGUCAUGGGGAAAUACUCACGGUAUACAUGGAACUGUCCAGUUGCUUCUUCAUUCACAAGAUCUGACUUUAUGACUUGUAGGGUAUAGAAUCCUGUGUCAUUCUGGGUGACGUUCUGGAUCAGCAGGGAUGCAUUGGGGUUUAUUGUCUCUCGACCACUGUAUGCGGGCCCUGGGGUAGCUUGUUGAGUUGCUAUUACAUAUCCUACAAUUUGACGGUUGCCAUCCACUCUUUCCCCUUUGUACCAGCUGUAGCCAAAAAGAGGCUGGGGCAGAUUGUGGACAAGUAGAAGAACCUCCUUCCCCUCUGCGACAUUGAAUGGCAUGGAUUCAAUAGUGAGCUGGGCAGUGGUGGGCGGGUUCCAGAAGGUUAGAAGUGAGGCUAGGAGAGAGGAGAGAGCAUCAGUCAAUAUUGGGACCUAUGCAUUAGGGUGGAAAAAUGGGGCCUUGGGUCCUGAGCAGGUGUCUUCACCCCUCCACCUUGGAGUGUGUGUGUGUGGGUGUGUGUGUGUGUGUGUGUCCUACUGGGUCAAGGUCAACAGUGUGACUCCCAUUCCCUUAGUGCCUCUGACCUUGUCAUUUCUGUGGAAUGCUCUUCCCCAGGGAUCCGCAUGGCUCCCUCCCCACUGCCCUCAGAUCUUGAUCACAUCAGGGUGCUCUUGGGAGAUCCUUUCCCUGACACCUCCCCUAGAGACCCUGGAUAUUCCCUUUCUGACCUUUUUCUGCUCUGUUCCCUCCAGGGCUCUUGUCAACACCUGACCUCACAUUCUAGAUCUCUUUGCUUGUCUGUCUUCCCCACCCAUGACAGCGUGAGCUCCGUGAGGGCAGGGAUUUGUGUGAUGUUGGUUGCACCCCAGUGCCUGGGAUAGGCUGCAGACUCCUGUGGAUGAGUUAGUGAGCAUUCCCAGGGCUCUUCAUGUCCUGGGGUUUAUUUGCCAAUAUCUGAGGUUGGUGGCUCAGGGCUCUGUUUAAUGCCCCUUUUAAAAUGUUUUCCUUAAUUGUCACGCUGACUUAAAUUGUGAUUAUUGUCACCAGUUUUUGAAAUUUAUUGCUCAUUGAUGAUUCAGUUGGAAAAGGUAAAAAAUGGGAGAUCGUUUAUUCACUAACAGUUUCAGAUCACUGAGACUUUCCUUUUAUGAUCUCUAUCCCUUUCAUGUCCUCUCUCCUAUUUGGCUCCAAGAGAAGCCCUCUGUCCCCUCUUAGAGCUCCAUCCUCCCCAGAGGACCCUAGCCAUUCUCUGUGCGCCCUUUUUCUGCCCCUUCCCAGGGAGUCCUCCCCUCACCUGUGAGCAGAAGCCCCUGCCAGGGUACACGCACUCUGUGAAGUGGGGCUGAGAGGUGCCCCAUGGUGUCUCCUGCUGGCCCUGUCUUCACCUGUGGAGGAGAGCUUGGGCUCCAGGAACGCUUCGAGCACGGCUGCUCUGUCAGCUCUGCUAUUUUCCACCCUCUGUGCUGAGCCUCCUCCCUGGGGCCCAGAGCUUUGUCUGAUCAUGUGUGUUGGGGCGGGGUUUGUCCAGGAAGCUCUGUUUCCUCUCCUCUCAUUCCUACCUUUGUCCUUAGUUUCUCUUUCCUUUCUGUCUACAUUUUGGUUUCCCAGACCACACUUUGAGAAUCAAGGCUGAUGAGACCUCUGUCCCCAUCAGGGGAGGAGGAUCCCCCCUCUCCAGCACUGACGUCUAUUGUGUCCUGGCCAUGGGUCUGUCAGCAGCACACAGAGAACCCUGGCAUAUCCAAAUGUGGUAAUUAUUUUCUUUGCAACACAGUGAGCUGCCAGGUCUCCCCAUGCUCUUCAGUGUGCUGGGAAGGUAGGAAGACACCCAGCAGGAAGGUGACAGAGGUGGCUCUGGGGGAUGGAAAGGGGCUCACUGGGGGAUGACUGGGGAGGGACCAGCCCUCUGUCUCUAGUGUCACCAGCCUGGCCUCUAACCCAGGGACAGAGACCCAAGUCCAGGGGUCUCAGGUGGAGCUGCAGCUCCCGGAUAUGGAGGGGGAGGUGUCCUGUGUGUCCUGGGAAGAGAGGACUGUGAUAGAGGGAGGUGGGUGGCUCUGGGCUCUACUGUCCUUGGGGAAGGCUUCAGGGGGACCCUCCCUCCCUUGACCUGAGGCUCAAGGCCUAUCCAUGUUCUCCCUGACCAUCCUGGGUGGUCUCUGUCCUCUGCGAGGCUGAUUGUCCUGUGGUCACCGCACCUUCCCCACAGGUGGUGCCAGGAGGGAAUGGGGAGCUGCACAGGGACCCCUCACAGAACAGGGUCCUCAGAGGACCCAGGAAGGGACAGAGCAGGUACAUGGGAGGGCCUGGAAGGGUGUUUUUGGAGCAAGGGAUGGAAAGUGGGCUCUACCUUCACCUCCUUAGCAAAGCCAGGUUCAUGACCAGGGGAAUGUUUCCUGAGUGUUGUCUGUGUGCAGUGUCUCCCCCUGGAGGGCAAGACAAGACCUGCAGCCUUGUCAAGGGCUGCCCCAGGGAUGCUGACCAGGGUCUACAUGAUGUGAGCUGGCCCUGACCCCUGGGCAGAUGUGGGCUCUGACCUCCAGGCUUCAAGGUCAAGUCACCCCAGGUCCUGUUCACUGCGGGUCCCCAGGCUGCCCAGCUCCAUGCGGUGCAGGAUGAGCCCAGGGAGAGGACGUGAGUUGUCCAGAGGACUUCUGUCAAGAUUGGAGAGAACUGUCCACCAGGGGGGUGGGCUGCCUUAAAAGGAGCCAUCUGUCCCAGAGGUUUG
Molecule: long non-coding RNA, 4716 nt
Organism: Gorilla gorilla gorilla (western lowland gorilla)
Lineage: Eukaryota; Metazoa; Chordata; Mammalia; Primates; Hominidae
Exons: 3
Source: RefSeq, a predicted model, not a curated record